UACAGAGGGGGCAAGCGUUGUUCGGAAUUACUGGGCGUAAAGGGCGCGUAGGCGGCCUUCUAAGUCGAACGUGAAAUCCCCGGGCUCAACCUGGGAACUGCGUUGGAAACUACGAGGCUAGAGUACGGCAGAGGGGGGUGGAAUUCCACGUGUAGCAGUGAAAUGCGUAGAUAUGUGGAGGAACACCGAUGGCGAAGGCAGCCCCCUGGGCUAGUACUGACGCUCAUGCACGAAAGCGUGGGGAGCAAACAGG
This 253-nucleotide ribosomal RNA is filed under the name uncultured bacterium. Its description in RNAcentral is "partial 16S ribosomal RNA". It matches the Rfam family "Bacterial small subunit ribosomal RNA", at positions 524 to 776 of the family's 1533-position model. The record is from RNAcentral.